GCUUGCUUCUCUGAUGUUAGCGGCGGACGGGUGAGUAACACGUGGAUAACCUACCUAUAAGACUGGGAUAACUUCGGGAAACCGGAGCUAAUACCGGAUAAUAUUUUGAACCGCAUGGUUCAAAAGUGAAAGACGGUCUUGCUGUCACUUAUAGAUGGAUCCGCGCUGCAUUAGCUGGUUGGUAAGGUAACGGCUUACCAAGGCAACGAUGCAUAGCCGACCUGAGAGGGUGAUCGGCCACACUGGAACUGAGACACGGUCCAGACUCCUACGGGAGGCAGCAGUAGGGAAUCUUCCGCAAUGGGCGAAAGCCUGACGGAGCAACGCCGCGUGAGUGAUGAAGGUCUUCGGAUCGUAAAACUCUGUUAUUAGGGAAGAACAUAUGUGUAAGUAACUGUGCACAUCUUGACGGUACCUAAUCAGAAAGCCACGGCUAACUACGUGCCAGCAGCCGCGGUAAUACGUAGGUGGCAAGCGUUAUCCGGAAUUAUUGGGCGUAAAGCGCGCGUAGGCGGUUUUUUAAGUCUGAUGUGAAAGCCCACGGCUCAACCGUGGAGGGUCAUUGGAAACUGGAAAACUUGAGUGCAGAAGAGGAAAGUGGAAUUCCAUGUGUAGCGGUGAAAUGCGCAGAGAUAUGGAGGAACACCAGUGGCGAAGGCGACUUUCUGGUCUGUAACUGACGCUGAUGUGCGAAAGCGUGGGGAUCAAACAGGAUUAGAUACCCUGGUAGUCCACGCCGUAAACGAUGAGUGCUAAGUGUUAGGGGGUUUCCGCCCCUUAGU
RNAcentral lists this ribosomal RNA (782 nucleotides) under uncultured Staphylococcus sp. RNAcentral describes it as "bacterial SSU rRNA". It matches the Rfam family "Bacterial small subunit ribosomal RNA", at positions 78 to 844 of the family's 1533-position model. The record is from RNAcentral. Lineage: Bacteria; Bacillati; Bacillota; Bacilli; Caryophanales; Staphylococcaceae.